Long non-coding RNA from Vicia villosa (hairy vetch), 1277 nucleotides. RefSeq lists it as uncharacterized. The record is from RefSeq and is a predicted model, not a curated record. NCBI's taxonomy places the organism in Eukaryota, Viridiplantae, Streptophyta, Magnoliopsida, Fabales, Fabaceae. The transcript is spliced from 3 exons.
CAAAUAAGGACUGUAAACGCUUCAUAUGGAAUUUCAUACGCUUCCCAUUCCAAUAAAUCCGCUUCAACCAUAACAUCUUGAAAUCUACCCUUUGAAUUCAAUUCUCACUUCUUCCAAUCAAUACUCUGUUGCAAGUUCCUUCUCUUUUUCCAAUCCCAUUUCUCUUUUCCCGUCCCUAUUCAUCUAAAUGGGUUUCUCUAUGCAAAUCCUUCAACUCUAAUUUAUCUUCUCCAAAUACCUAAUCAAUUCAUCAUCAAUGUCAAUUCUUCAAUUUUUCAGAUAGUUUAUUUCAAUUUUUGUUGAUUACUGUUUAGUUUACCUAUAUAAAUAUGAUCAUUUUCUUCUCCAAAUUCACACCUUUUUAGAUUACAUCAGAAAGAAUAUCUAAACCCAAACCACUUCUUAGGCCUAUCAUCAGAAAGAAUAGAGUCUCUCCAACAACUUGGACUCUUAUAUUGAUUCCACUAUUCAAUAUGUGUUUGUUGUCUUAGUGCUGAUGAAAUGAAGAGGGUAAGCAUGCUAAAGUGAGUCUUAUACCUAACAGACAGCAUGCUGAUGAAGCACUUUCUUCAUAUAAGAUGGAGGAGCUCUAGAGAAAGAUAAUUAUAAAGUGAAAAUAAUAAAUGAUAGUAUCAAGCGAAGCACCUAAGGCAAAGCAACAGUUGAAUUUGAGAUGCCCUGUGGCUAUGAAUUUAAUAUUGCAGUACAUGUUAGUUGUAUGUAAAAAUUGAAUGUCUAAACUAUGUCAAGUUUUAUUUGUGUAGAAAAUCACCAAUGAAUUACUUGUGCUUUAAAAGUAUAGUGAUUAUUAUCCUGAUAUUGGACAUGGAGAUAGGGAACUGAUCAUGAUUUCAUGUCUAUUUGCAAGGGAUGGAAGGAUAUUGCAGUCAAGCAAGAUCGAUCUAAUGAGAACAAAUCGAGGAUGGGAAUAUCACUUCCAUCUAUGCAUUCUCUAUAUAUAAUCUCAUUUCAAUUUAGAGCGUGUGAAGAAGUUCACUAAGUUUGAUGUCAUGUACUUGAUAAGAAGAUUUUGCAUAAACUUGCAUAAAGAUUAUUGGAAAAGAUAGAUUUUUUAUUGAUGUGUUAGUCCAUUUGAUCUUCAAGUCCCCACCAAUGUAGUUGUGUUUUAUCCCCACCCUUUCCUUUUGGUUACAGUUAUUUUCUAGAAAAUGAAUUAUCAUUGUAUAAAAAGGAGUAAAUUAAUAGAACACAAGAAACACUAAAAUGAAAAGUGAUCUAAGAAUGCAGUAAUGAUCCCUUAAUCACUACAAUUUUUC